This is a non-coding RNA of Sarcophilus harrisii (Tasmanian devil), 46 nucleotides long. The record is from Rfam. NCBI's taxonomy places the organism in Eukaryota, Metazoa, Chordata, Mammalia, Dasyuromorphia, Dasyuridae.
UACAAGGUGCUAUUAGGCACUACAGAUAUAAAUAUGAAAGAAAAAU